RNAcentral lists this ribosomal RNA (254 nucleotides) under uncultured bacterium. RNAcentral describes it as "partial 16S ribosomal RNA". It matches the Rfam family "Bacterial small subunit ribosomal RNA", at positions 524 to 776 of the family's 1533-position model. The record is from RNAcentral.
UACGUAGGGUGCAAGCGUUAAUCGGAAUUACUGGGCGUAAAGCGUGCGCAGGCGGUUGUGUAAGACAGAUGUGAAAUCCCCCGGGCUCAACCUGGGAACUGCAUUUGUGACUGCACAGCUGGAGUGCGGCAGAGGGGGAUGGAAUUCCGCGUGUAGCAGUGAAAUGCGUAGAUAUGCGGAGGAACACCGAUGGCGAAGGCAAUCCCCUGGGCCUGCACUGACGCUCAUGCACGAAAGCGUGGGGAGCAAACAGG